This 249-nucleotide ribosomal RNA is filed under the name uncultured bacterium. Its description in RNAcentral is "partial 16S ribosomal RNA". It matches the Rfam family "Bacterial small subunit ribosomal RNA", at positions 524 to 772 of the family's 1533-position model. The record is from RNAcentral.
UACGUAGGGUGCAAGCGUUAAUCGGAAUUACUGGGCGUAAAGCGUGCGCAGGCGGUUUUGUAAGUCUGUCGUGAAAUCCCCGGGCUCAACCUGGGAAUUGCGAUGGAGACUGCAAGGCUGGAGUCUGGCAGAGGGGGGUAGAAUUCCACGUGUAGCAGUGAAAUGCGUAGAGAUGUGGAGGAACACCGAUGGCGAAGGCAGCCCCCUGGGUCAAGACUGACGCUCAUGCACGAAAGCGUGGGGAGCAAA